GAUGAACGCUGGCGGCGUGCCUAAUACAUGCAAGUCGAGCGAACAGACGAGGAGCUUGCUCCUCUGACGUUAGCGGCGGACGGGUGAGUAACACGUGGAUAACCUACCUAUAAGACUGGGAUAACUUCGGGAAACCGGAGCUAAUACCGGAUAAUAUAUUGAACCGCAUGGUUCAAUAGUGAAAGACGGUUUUGCUGUCACUUAUAGAUGGAUCCGCGCCGCAUUAGCUAGUUGGUAAGGUAACGGCUUACCAAGGCAACGAUGCGUAGCCGACCUGAGAGGGUGGUCGGCCACAGUGGAACUGAGACACGGUCCAGACUCCUACGGGAGGCAGCAGUAGGGAAUCUUCCGCAAUGGGCGAAAGCCUGACGGAGCAACGCCGCGUGAGUGAUGAAGGUCUUCGGAUCGUAAAACUCUGUUAUUAGGGAAGAACAAAUGUGUAAGUAACUAUGCACGUCUUGACGGUACCUAAUCAGAAAGCCACGGCUAACUACGUG
This 497-nucleotide ribosomal RNA is filed under the name uncultured bacterium. RNAcentral's name for it is "partial 16S ribosomal RNA". It matches the Rfam family "Bacterial small subunit ribosomal RNA", at positions 28 to 507 of the family's 1533-position model. The record is from RNAcentral.